Molecule: ribosomal RNA, 1468 nt
Filed under: Salmonella enterica subsp. enterica serovar Livingstone
Lineage: Bacteria; Pseudomonadati; Pseudomonadota; Gammaproteobacteria; Enterobacterales; Enterobacteriaceae
Description: partial 23S ribosomal RNA
Rfam family: Bacterial large subunit ribosomal RNA
Source: RNAcentral
AGACCCGAAACCCGGUGAUCUAGCCAUGGGCAGGUUGAAGGUUGGGUAACACUAACUGGAGGACCGAACCGACUAAUGUUGAAAAAUUAGCGGAUGACCUGUGGCUGGGGGUGAAAGGCCAAUCAAACCGGGAGAUAGCUGGUUCUCCCCGAAAGCUAUUUAGGUAGCGCCUCGUGAAUUCAUCUCCGGGGGUAGAGCACUGUUUCGGCUAGGGGGCCAUCCCGGCUUACCAACCCGAUGCAAACUGCGAAUACCGGAGAAUGUUAUCACGGGAGACACACGGCGGGUGCUAACGUCCGUCGUGAAGAGGGAAACAACCCAGACCGCCAGCUAAGGUCCCAAAGUCAUGGUUAAGUGGGAAACGAUGUGGGAAGGCCCAGACAGCCAGGAUGUUGGCUUAGAAGCAGCCAUCAUUUAAAGAAAGCGUAAUAGCUCACUGGUCGAGUCGGCCUGCGCGGAAGAUGUAACGGGGCUAAACCAUGCACCGAAGCUGCGGCAGCGACGCUGAUGCGUUGUUGGGUAGGGGAGCGUUCUGUAAGCCUGCGAAGGUGGCCUGUGAGGGUUGCUGGAGGUAUCAGAAGUGCGAAUGCUGACAUAAGUAACGAUAAAGCGGGUGAAAAGCCCGCUCGCCGGAAGACCAAGGGUUCCUGUCCAACGUUAAUCGGGGCAGGGUGAGUCGACCCCUAAGGCGAGGCCGAAAGGCGUAGUCGAUGGGAAACGGGUUAAUAUUCCCGUACUUGGUGUUACUGCGAAGGGGGGACGGAGAAGGCUAUGUUGGCCGGGCGACGGUUGUCCCGGUUUAAGCGUGUAGGUGUGUGUUCCAGGUAAAUCCGGUUCACUUUAACACUGAGGCGUGAUGACGAGGCACUACGGUGCUGAAGCAACAAAUGCCCUGCUUCCAGGAAAAGCCUCUAAGCAUCAGGUAACAUCAAAUCGUACCCCAAACCGACACAGGUGGUCAGGUAGAGAAUACCAAGGCGCUUGAGAGAACUCGGGUGAAGGAACUAGGCAAAAUGGUGCCGUAACUUCGGGAGAAGGCACGCUGACACGUAGGUGAAGUGAUUUACUCAUGGAGCUGAAGUCAGUCGAAGAUACCAGCUGGCUGCAACUGUUUAUUAAAAACACAGCACUGUGCAAACACGAAAGUGGACGUAUACGGUGUGACGCCUGCCCGGUGCCGGAAGGUUAAUUGAUGGGGUCAGCGCAAGCGAAGCUCCUGAUCGAAGCCCCGGUAAACGGCGGCCGUAACUAUAACGGUCCUAAGGUAGCGAAAUUCCUUGUCGGGUAAGUUCCGACCUGCACGAAUGGCGUAAUGAUGGCCAGGCUGUCUCCACCCGAGACUCAGUGAAAUUGAACUCGCUGUGAAGAUGCAGUGUACCCGCGGCAAGACGGAAAGACCCCGUGAACCUUUACUAUAGCUUGACACUGAACAUUGAGCCUUGAUGUGUAGGAUAGGUGGGAGGCUUUG